RNAcentral lists this unclassified non-coding RNA (376 nucleotides) under soil metagenome. RNAcentral's name for it is "partial contains 5.8S ribosomal RNA, internal transcribed spacer 2, and large subunit ribosomal RNA". The stretch from base 1 to 120 matches the Rfam family "5.8S ribosomal RNA", at positions 35 to 154 of the family's 154-position model. The record is from RNAcentral.
GAUGAAGAACGCAGCGAAAUGCGAUAAGUAAUGUGAAUUGCAGAAUUCAGUGAAUCAUCGAAUCUUUGAACGCAUCUUGCGCUUCUUGGUAUUCUGAGGAGCAUGCCUGUUUGAGUGUCAUUAAAUUCUCAACUACACUGACUUUGAAUUGGUGUGGCUUGGAUUUGGGGGGAAAAUUGUUGUGGGCUUUUUGUAUAGUCUGCUCCCCUGAAAUUGAUUAGCGGUACCUUUGUGGAACUGUCUACAGGUGUGAUAAUUAUCUACAUCUUAGACAUCUGCUGGAAUGCUGCUUUCUAAACCUUACUUGUAUUGACAAUCUUGACCUCAAAUCAGGUAGGACUACCCGCUGAACUUAAGCAUAUCAAUAAGCGGAGGA